Molecule: unclassified non-coding RNA, 322 nt
Filed under: Vincetoxicum stocksii
Lineage: Eukaryota; Viridiplantae; Streptophyta; Magnoliopsida; Gentianales; Apocynaceae
Also listed under: 2 other names
Description: partial 5' external transcribed spacer
Source: RNAcentral
CGGUUUCCUGCGUUGCGUACCUACACGGAGGCAUUCGUUGUUGUCCCAACGACCCUCGUUCGUUGAGAGCUCCCCGUUUUGGCGGGGCACAAGACGAAAGUUGCAGCUUGGUCCGUUACCCACGUCGCGUCCGGCUGUCGUGGUGAACGGGGCUUUGCUUAAGCUCUCGGAUACGGAAAGCAUUGAGAGGGCAUUGACAUCUCAUCCUUGCCCGAGCAUGCAUGCAUUAGAUCGGACCCUAACAACAACGGUGCACGACUGUCGCUCCCGCCUCGGUUCGGCCGUGCGGGCAGGACGUCGUUGAGGAAUGCUACCUGGUUGA